This is a long non-coding RNA of Phacochoerus africanus (Common warthog), 1144 nucleotides long. RefSeq lists it as uncharacterized. The record is from RefSeq and is a predicted model, not a curated record. The transcript is spliced from 4 exons. NCBI's taxonomy places the organism in Eukaryota, Metazoa, Chordata, Mammalia, Artiodactyla, Suidae.
GGUCGCGGGCGUCGCCCCUCCCCUGGGCAGCGCCGCACACCUGGGCGGCCAGCGGCGAGUCCCGGGCAGCCGCCCGACCCGCGGCGCUCUGCCCAUCUUGCAGGGAAGUGGUCAUUGUCGCCGGUCGGGGGGCUCGGGCGUCAUGGGAGACCCGGCGCGGGGGGAGAAGGAGGUCGGGCGGCUGGAGGCGAGGUGCCGGCUCGGCAGCCGAAGCGCGCUGCAGGAAGAAAUUUGAGGCCGUAAAACUAUCAAACACUUUUAUGAGCUACAUUCCAUACAAUAUCGUCACUUAAGUGGAAAAGAAAACCGCAAUACUCCAGGGAACAUGCUUUAUUCUCCAGUCCUGGAAGCAUGAUGUUUAAUGAGUACCUACCAGCACACCUGUGCAUGCCUGCCUUUACUGGAUCAAAAAUUUGCAUUCUCUCAGACUUCUGAGCUCCAGAUGGCUCACAGAGAUUCUGCCACCAACUCUUCGUAGGAAAGCUUAUUGGUAACCAGCUACUCAACUGGACUCUCUCCUAAUGGCAUCAAUCACACUAUGAAAGAUUUCUUUUGGACUUUUUGUUUAUCCAGAUGAAGAUGACCGGCAGGAAGUUGGGAUGUGAGACUCGCUUGAAAAAUCUCGGCUGGAAUCACCUAUUUGGGAUUCUUGUGCAGGUAGGCAAUAAUUGAAAAUCAUAAGGUAGAUGAGAUUAUCAGAAGCAAAGGUAUGAGAAGUGAAAAGUAAAGACUUGAACAAACCUCAGGCAGGAACAUUUAGGGGACAGAAGGAGGAAGAAGAAGCCUCAAAGUAGACAGAGAAGGUGGGGUCAAAGAGGUAGGUAGUUAUUACUUCCCUCAGGGGGUUAUUUCUGCUAGUUUCAAGACUGAGAACUACUGUCUUAGUUUAAUGAUAGAAAAUGAUGGAAAUAGCUAGGAGGAAGUAAGUUGGUAAAUAUGGAUUAGGCCAAGGCAAAUUUGAUGCACUGAAUAGAAUUUUUUGCAGCCAUUUACUUUUAAAACUUCUUUUUACAAUGCUACUUCAAAAUUGGUUUAUUUUCCCAGGUAUCCCCCCACACACUUUUAAAUAAAAGUAGUAGGCGCUACUAGUAGAUAAAGAAUUCCUGAUAAAUUUUUAAAACAUUCAGGAAUAUUCUGCUGAGUU